AUUGAACGCUGGCGGCAUGCCUUACACAUGCAAGUCGAACGGCAGCACGGGGGCAACCCUGGUGGCGAGUGGCGAACGGGUGAGUAAUACAUCGGAACGUGUCCUGGAGUGGGGGAUAGCCCGGCGAAAGCCGGAUUAAUACCGCAUACGCUCUAUGGAGGAAAGCGGGGGAUCUUCGGACCUCGCGCUCAAGGGGCGGCCGAUGGCGGAUUAGCUAGUUGGUAGGGUAAAGGCCUACCAAGGCGACGAUCCGUAGCUGGUCUGAGAGGACGACCAGCCACACUGGGACUGAGACACGGCCCAGACUCCUACGGGAGGCAGCAGUGGGGAAUUUUGGACAAUGGGGGCAACCCUGAUCCAGCAAUGCCGCGUGUGUGAAGAAGGCCUUCGGGUUGUAAAGCACUUUUGUCCGGAAAGAAAUCCUCUGGGUUAAUACCUCGGGGGGAUG
RNAcentral lists this ribosomal RNA (448 nucleotides) under bacterium Ellin5255. RNAcentral's name for it is "bacterial SSU rRNA". It matches the Rfam family "Bacterial small subunit ribosomal RNA", at positions 29 to 471 of the family's 1533-position model. The record is from RNAcentral. Lineage: Bacteria; Pseudomonadati; Pseudomonadota; Betaproteobacteria; Burkholderiales; Burkholderiaceae.